This is a small nuclear RNA of Octodon degus (degu), 103 nucleotides long. The record is from Ensembl. NCBI's taxonomy places the organism in Eukaryota, Metazoa, Chordata, Mammalia, Rodentia, Octodontidae.
CUGCUUCAGCAGCACACAAACUAAAAUUGGAACAAUACAGAGAAGAUUAGCGUGGCCCCUGCACAACGAUGAUGCGCAAAUUCGCGAAGUGUUCCAUAUUAAA